CAGACACCUACCUGCGCGAGUUCAGGAAGGGAGGGACAGGAAGAGCUCGGUGUGUUAUAGAUUCUUGUUUUGCUCUCCCACUUUCUGCUUCUAAGCUCCUAGCGCUGCUUCCCUGUCCUCAUAUCUUUCUUGUUAAAAAUGCCAGAUUCUGCCUAAUUUGUGUUCUUUUAUUGAACUGGACACAACUUAAAAAUGUUUUCAGUUUGGUGCUCACCAGAACCGAGGUUAGAGAAAGAAGAGCGAGGAGGGGAAGGAGGAAGAAUGUGAAAAGAAGGAAAAUCUAGUCACGGGAAAAGCAGCAGAGGAGGAAACGCCAUCGCCUCGUGCCUGUGCCGUUUCCACCCUUUGGUCUUUGAGGUCCAUGUUUGUGCUUGAGGAACGAUUUCAACAUCACGCAGGGCUUGUUGGGGACCACGUGUGACGGGGGCCAGGAAGGGAGGCUCUGCCUGAACUGGCCUUGCUGGUUUCUCUCCUUCCAGACGUCUGCUGAGAGUGGGGGUGGCCUAACAUGUGGCCAGUGGAGGAGCCCAUCUCAGUCCUACUUGCCAGGGGCGCCAUUGCUUGGGUCCAAAGCCCCACGCCUCCUCCAGUCUGCGACUUUUGCUUCCACGUGCACGUCUUGUGGUGGCCAUUGCUCCUGGACCCCAAAAGCCAGUUUCCUUCUACCUUGGGGCUUAUGGAAGGAUCACCGUUUCCCAUGCCCUGAAGAACCACACAGCCACGAGACUUGCUGUGGUCUAAGAAGUGAGUGGCGCUUCCAGGUGGAAGCGUUUGAGCUGAUGUGUGUGACUCUCUGUGCACUUGUUGACUUGACCACCAGCUUUCCAAAUGGUGGAGCUUUUGUCAGCCAAGGUCGUAGAGUGAAAAUGACGUGGAACAGAGUCCUUGUAGAUCCGUGACCACGGUCACAUGAGUCAGGAAUAAACCUUCCUUGUUCUGAGCCACUGAAUUCUGGAGUUGGUUGUCACUGCAGCGUAGCUUAGCCUAUCCUGACCGACGCGUCCCCACCCCCUUCACUUGCUCUGUGUUUGGAAUCCUUUGCAAAUCUGGCCAAGUCCUGCUGCUGCCCAGAACCCUUUCAUGACUCCCCAGCACUGUUGGGAUGAGGUGC
Molecule: long non-coding RNA, 1111 nt
Filed under: Equus asinus (donkey)
Lineage: Eukaryota; Metazoa; Chordata; Mammalia; Perissodactyla; Equidae
Description: lncRNA (ENSEASG00005025670.1)
Source: RNAcentral